GACGAACGCUGGCGGCGUGCUUCAUACAUGCAAGUCGAACGAGAAGCAGUCUUCGGACUGUGGAAAGUGGCGGACGGGUGAGUAAUAUGUAGAGAAUCUGCCCUAGAGAGUGGGACAACAGAGGGAAACUUCUGCUAAUACCGCAUAUGCGCGUAGUUGAAAUACUAUUCGUGAAAACUCCGGUGCUCUGGGAUGAGUCUGCAUCUGAUUAGCUAGUUGGCGGUGUAAUGGACUACCAAGGCGACGAUCAGUAGCUGGUUUGAGAGGAUGAUCAGCCACAAUGGGACUGAGACACGGCCCAUACUCCUACGGGAGGCAGCAGUAGGGAAUUUUGCGCAAUGGGCGAAAGCCUGACGCAGCAACACCGCGUGAAUG
RNAcentral lists this ribosomal RNA (375 nucleotides) under uncultured bacterium. Its description in RNAcentral is "bacterial SSU rRNA". It matches the Rfam family "Bacterial small subunit ribosomal RNA", at positions 28 to 407 of the family's 1533-position model. The record is from RNAcentral.